Octopus sinensis (East Asian common octopus) is the source of this 910-nucleotide long non-coding RNA. RefSeq lists it as uncharacterized. NCBI's taxonomy places the organism in Eukaryota, Metazoa, Mollusca, Cephalopoda, Octopoda, Octopodidae. The record is from RefSeq and is a predicted model, not a curated record. The transcript is spliced from 3 exons.
ACUAGGGAUUUUGACCUCUAAAUUUUGGGGGUAAAAUGCAGAUUAUACUCGAGGAUUUACGGUAGUUGAGUCUUUUUUGAAAUAUUCUGAUAUUUUGUCUCAUAUUUCAAACAGGAUUUUCAAAAGACAGACUUAAUGAUAACAUGCAAUCUUAAUCUUUUCAUCUAAUUUGUUCUGUUAUGUCAUUUUUUAAACUAUAAACCACCUUGUUGUUGUUCAAGCCUGCAUAUAAAUCUUACUGUUGGUAAAAGCAAAACUGAAUAAAUAUCUAAAUGUCUAAGACAAGCUAAUAGGAUUAUAAUUUUUCAGAUGAUUAGCCUGAUCUUAGUGAUUAAAAAUAUAUUAUCAUGUACUUUAAGUUUUGGUCAUUAAUCGUCAGUGUGUCUUAUUUUCUGAAUGUAUACAUAAAUACCAGUACUAGGAAGCUUUAUUUUUAGAAAUAAGGGUAAUACCACCUGCUCUUAUUCAUUAGUCCAUGAUGCAUGUACAAUUAACCCUUUAGUUACAUUUUUAGUGUAUUUAAAUUAAUCAUUGAGAAAAGGUUGCCACAUUGAGCUGAUGUUAGUGCUGGGCUUAUUGAUUGGGUUACCAGCAAAUGUUAUACUCUCUCUUUACAUCUUUUUAAAUUUUCCACCAUUGUUCCCUCUAACUUUUUGCUCUGUGUGUGUGUGCGUGCGUGUAUAGAAAUUUGUUGGUGCAAAUUUUCUCUUUAUUUGUGAAGUAUGUGCUCCUUCAUACAAAUAGCCAUUAUUUCAAUGUCAUAUUGAUCACCUAAGCAAAUGCAUAUUAUCUUAAAGAUUUUAUUAUGAAAUUACAUGAUGAAUUCUUUCAAUUAAAAAAUACUUUUUUUCAUCUUGAAAACCCUGAGUGCCCACAUUUUUUCUCUUUGUGCACUAGUUGUAAAAUGUGU